This 501-nucleotide ribosomal RNA is filed under the name Acinetobacter baumannii. RNAcentral's name for it is "partial 23S ribosomal RNA". It matches the Rfam family "Bacterial large subunit ribosomal RNA", at positions 667 to 1166 of the family's 2925-position model. The record is from RNAcentral. Lineage: Bacteria; Pseudomonadati; Pseudomonadota; Gammaproteobacteria; Moraxellales; Moraxellaceae.
CGUAGAGAAAUCGAGUCUUAAUAGGGCGUUUAGUUGCUGGGUAUAGACCCGAAACCAGGCGAUCUAUCCAUGAGCAGGUUGAAGGUUGGGUAACACUAACUGGAGGACCGAACCCACUGUCGUUGAAAAGCCAGGGGAUGACUUGUGGAUAGGGGUGAAAGGCUAAUCAAGCCUGGUGAUAGCUGGUUCUCCCCGAAAGCUAUUUAGGUAGCGCCUCGGACGAAUACCAUAGGGGGUAGAGCACUGUUUCGGCUAGGGGGUCAUCCCGACUUACCAAACCGAUGCAAACUCCGAAUACCUAUGAGUACUAUCCGGGAGACAGACUGCGGGUGCUAACGUCCGUAGUCAAGAGGAAAACAAUCCAGACCGCCAGCUAAGGCCCCAAAAUCAUAGUUAAGUGGGAAACGAUGUGGGAAGGCAUAGACAGCUAGGAGGUUGGCUUAGAAGCAGCCACCCUUUAAAGAAAGCGUAAUAGCUCACUAGUCGAGUCGGCCUGCGCGG